GGAGUGGUAGUUCAGUUGGUUAGAAUACCGGCCUGUCACGCCGGGGGUCGCGGGUUCGAGUCCCGUCCACUCCGCCACUUAUAUUAAGAUUAAGCCUCAGUCGAAAGACUGAGGCUUUUUCGUUUUA
RNAcentral lists this transfer RNA (127 nucleotides) under Vibrio alginolyticus 12G01. Its description in RNAcentral is "tRNA-Asp". The stretch from base 1 to 74 matches the Rfam family "tRNA". Rfam says of the family: Transfer RNA (tRNA) molecules are approximately 80 nucleotides in length. Their secondary structure includes four short double-helical elements and three loops (D, anti-codon, and T loops). Lineage: Bacteria; Pseudomonadati; Pseudomonadota; Gammaproteobacteria; Vibrionales; Vibrionaceae. The record is from RNAcentral.